ACUCGUCUAAGCGAGUCUAAACAGAUCUUUAAGCUUAGAGCGUCUCUGGUCUUUAUGACCAGAGGGUAGAU
Molecule: ribozyme, 71 nt
Filed under: unclassified sequences
Description: pistol ribozyme
Rfam family: Pistol ribozyme
Source: RNAcentral